Molecule: long non-coding RNA, 20404 nt
Filed under: Sorghum bicolor (sorghum)
Lineage: Eukaryota; Viridiplantae; Streptophyta; Magnoliopsida; Poales; Poaceae
Description: long non-coding RNA (SBIC_LNC015969)
Source: RNAcentral
CUGUGUAGACCCUUAGGAGCUUGUCAUGUGGUUAAAAUCAAGAUUCACUUGCACGUUCACUCACACAUGCUACUUCUACUCCGGAAGUACGCAUUCACAUACAUCCACUCACUUCAAUCUCCACAGCCACCCAAAAGUAUUCUACUCCUAAUCCAGGAGAGAAUAGCCAAAAAUAUUUAUGUUUUUCCCUGUGAAAUAAAUGCUCGAGUUAUCUUGGUUACUACCACUUGCUAUAUUAUUUCAGGAGAUGAGUGCUCUAAAAAAAGAGGAUACGAGGAAAUAAAAAGGGGCAAGUGCCCGGAACCUCGAAGAAAAGAAAAAGUAAGACAAGAUGUAAAAAUGGACAAGUGUCCGACAGUAGAAUUAGGAGUACAAGAUACCCACCUAAGAGGAAACAAAAAGAAAAUAUAGAGCAUCUCAUUCUCCUCAAAAAGCUUCAAAGUGCAAGAAAGGUAUGUAUCCUCUUAAAAGAGCAAAAGUAAAAUUAGAUUUUCACCAUUGUUAUCACCAUCAUCACCAUACACCAUUCACUCACCACACAUGCACAUCUUGAUUUGACUUAUUGACUUGUUCUUCUGGAUCCAUGGUUUGACUAUGCAAUAAAUGUCUUGUAAGUAUGUAUUAUCUGUCUCCCACCUAUAAGCUCCAGAUAUCAAAACCUUAUUAGAGUAGGGUGAGAGAGAAGGCAAUACCACUAUGCCUCAUACCAAAAACACCACAUACUUUGAGAGAAGGCAUAUACCAUUGCUGCCUUGGAAAGGAUCCAGAAAUACCACAAACGAGAGAUUUCAGAGAAUCAUAUAAGGAAUCUCUCAGUUUUAUUUGAAAAUAUGCAAAAACUCUAGAGCUAUAGCUGAUCAAGAACAAGAGACAUGGCGCUUGACUAGACUAUUCUAUCUUUUAACUGCUGAAGACAAAAGUGAUGGUUGCAAGCCCCAUGGUGAAAGGUAAAAUGAGUAAGUUUUAAGUCUUAACAGUUUACUCUAACUCAGAGAUGAGAUCUUGCUUGAACGCAUGUGUACUUUUAAGACAUGAAACCACUGCAGAAACUCUUGAGUUCAUCCUUGCUCAGGGACGAGCAAGAGGUAAGCUUAGGGGAGUUGUUGACGGUCCUUAUGUACCAAAUAUAAUCAUCAAAUAAAUAAAGAAAAGGAUCCAAAUGCAACCAACACCCAGACUUAGGGUUGUAUCUGACAGAAUUCCAUGAGUUUUGAUGUUUGUCUAUUUCUGUAGGGGGUUAUCAGGAAAUAUGGAGGAAAGGCCCACACGUCAGGUUUACAUAGAGAUAUUAACGUGCUGCGCAAUUUUCUAUAAUCUAGAAGAGUCCAGAAGCCACGGGAACGAACGGGAGGCCGAACGGGCCCGGGGGCACGGCGCCCGCCCUCCCCCCUUGGGCGCCCGCCCUGGUACAAGCACCAAUCACAGAAUGGAGUACACCAUUACAAAGAUCUCGUCGAGCUGAUCGAAAUGCAUAUAUUAUUUGCUAUAUUUGGAGUUCGGAAUCAAGAGAUAUUAAUAAAAGAAAGACUCCACAUAAAAGAGCUGCGGGAUUAAUUGGGCCCAAAUCAAAUUUUGGUCGAUUAAGGCCUUUGUGCAUUUUAAUGAGAUAUGGUGGAAAGUUUAGUACCACAUCACCUGCUGAACCAAAAAUGCACAAAGGAGGAGGCUAUAUAAGCAAGACCCCUGGCCCCUGGAGGAGAACACAUCAUUAUAGAGUUGAGAGGUGCCCUCGAAGGAUAACCUUUCCUCUACAUAGAAUUAGGGCUUAGCAUCCAAUGUGAGAUUAGAAUUAGUUCUUCUAAGUUCUUCUAGAUUGAGAGAGAUAGAGUGGAGGUCUAGAUCGGAGGAAGCCCGGCCUGUCGGUGUCUCCUCCGAGGUUGUAUCUGCGGGAUCAAGUCUCAUAACCCGAGGCUUGCUCCUAGGAUUCUUCAGUAUUUCGACUUCUAAAUUCUAGUAAGUUGUUGUUCUUAUUGUUCUUUAGUUUAUGAGUUUACUUUAAUCUCUUCCGGUUGAGUUUAGAGUAAUCAUUGCUAGCGUAAACAUGGUGUUUGGGCUAGUGUACUCAUAGAUAUCCCCUGUCUAGCCGGACCGUGGUAGUAGCGAGGAACGUGACAUUUCCGAGUUACCUUUGUAGCCCACAUCCCGUUAGAAGGAUCGAUAGGGUUUAUAUGUGCGGGUCGAACAUCCUUUAUGGUGUCAAGAUUCCGUAAGCCUCCCCAAUAGAACAGUAGAUCAUCCUUACCAAGGUUAGAACGAGAUUACGGUUGUAGUCUUCUCUAUACAUCGCUCACAUCGAAUCACAUUGUUUGUAGCCUAAAGGGUAGUAGCAAUAGAUUUGGUUAGUCAGAUGCACGCUUUCUCCCAGUGGUAAAAAUAUAAAUACAAUACUCUGGAUAACCUCCCGGGUGAAGGGCUUAUCAAUAUCCGUGCGCUUAUAGAUCAUUUCCUGAGGGUGUUACCAAAUAUCAACAGUAUGCCUUCACGGCUGACGACGUUGCCGAGCAGUAUAUCAGAGGGAACCCCGAAGAUGCAUUUUUGGGGUUAAGCUUCCACUUGUAUUUAUUCAGCGCUUUAAAAGUGCGGUCUAAGUUGUCGAUCAGGGUGCCUGCGUCCUGGUUUUGACGACAACGUCGUUGACGUAAGCCUCGACAAGGUCAUCACGUAUCUCGUCAUUGAUAGGUGGCUCCAGUGUUUUUGAGUCCGAAGGACAUGGUGGUGUAGCAAUACGCACCGAAAGGAGUGAUGAAGGAAGUUUUGAUCUGGUCGUCUUCCUUUAGCGAGAUCUGGUGGUAACUAGAGUAACAGUCGAGAAAAGAGAAUUGUUCGCAUCCGGCUGUUGAAUCGACCACCUCGUCGAUAUGGGGGGCCAAAAGGAUUUUUAGGACAGUGUUUAUUGAGAUCAGUGUAAUCAACGCACAUUCUCCAUUGAUUAUUCUUUUUUCUUACAAGGACUGGAUUGGUGAGCCAAUCGGGGUGAUACACUUCUUUAAUAAAUCCGGCUGCCAAAAGCCGUGUAAUCUCUGUCCUAAUAGCCUCCUUUUUGUCACGAGCGAACCGUCGUAGCUUUUGCUUGAUAGGUCUUGUGGUCUUCAAGACGUUUAAGGAGUGCUCGAUCAGGCUUCGUGGGACGCCGGGUAUGUUUGUGGGUUUCCAUGCGAAAACGCUUACGUUGUUCCUUAGAAACCUGACGAGCACGUCUUCCUAUUUGGCGUCCAGGUUGACCCCGAUGAGAGCCGUCUUCUCUGGGCUGCCGUUGACCAGUUGUACUUCCUUGUGCUCUUUGGACUUGGAGCUUUUUCUUGGAGUCUCCUGCUCGAGUAGUUGGAGCUGGUUGGGUGGAACUUGCGUGGCUUGUGCUACAGUUUCUGCCAUGCGAAUUGAGUGAUCAAUUGCCUCGGUGAUCUUGAAGCUUUCCUCUUCGCAAGUGUACAUGGUGUAGACGUUGCCUCUGAUGGUUAAGACGCCCUUCUCGGUUGGCAUCUUGAGGACCAGGUAUGAGUAGUGUGGAACUGCCAUGAACAUUGUAAGCGAAGGACGGCCUAGAAUUGCGUGGUAAGUCCUGUCGAAGUCGGCGACCACAAAGUUGAUGAACUCUAUGCGGAAGUGGUCUGGCGUUCUUCCGAACUAGACGGGCAGCGUUAUCUGGCCGAGGGGUACUUAGCGUCAUACGGUUUUAGCUGCGCCGGAGUUAGCUUGAGAGCAGGCAAGCUAUUGCGGAACAGGAUAUCGAUAGAGCUGCCCCCGUCAACGAGCACGCGCUCGAACCUGACGCUGUUGAUGCACGAGUCUAGAAUCAACGGAAAAUGCUCUGGUUCUGGGAUGGCGGCUCACUAGUCCUGCCUGUUGAAGGAAAUCUCACGGUGCGACCAGGGAGGUAAUUUAGGAUCGGUGAACAAACCAUCGGCGCAGUCCACAUUAAGGCAAGCCCGCUUCAAGAGCUUUCUUUCUCGUUUUGACUCGAUGGAGACUUUGCCUCCAAAGAUGGAGUGUACCCCAUGGUGGGGCUGACAUAUUGGUGCCGUGGGUCCCUAUCCUGGUCAUCGUCCUCGUCUUCCUGACAGCGUCUGUCCUGUUUCCCGUUUUUCUUGGCGGCAUCUCCCUGAGCGGCCUGAUGUGUGUAGAUGCUUUUGAGGACACGGCAUUCUUCCAUCGUGUGGUUGGACUUGGGAUGGAGUUGGCACAGUCCUUUCAACAUUUUAUAGUAGUCUUCCUAGUAGUCACGUCGUCCAUUGGGACGCUUGAUUGUGUUCACCUCGUGAUCGUUGUCGCGAGGUCGCUCGCCUCUAAAAAGUCACGAUUUUCACGACGCCUGUCCCACACUUCUCGGUGGUCGCGGUUGUCGCCGCGGCGGGGAUUCCGGUUAUCGAAACGCCCACGGCUGUCGUCUCGUCGGGGAGGUGGCUCGGCUCCUGUUACGUCUUCUCGGAUAAGCUUUUCUGCGUCGUCGGCAUCGGCGUAGUUUUUGGCCGUAGCGAGGAGCUCGGCGACCGUGGUCGGCCUUUUGCGUAGUAGCUUGCUUCUUAAUGCUUCGUGGAAGCGUAGGCCCUUGAUGAAGGCUGAUAUGGCCUCGUUGUGAGAAAUCUUCGGAAUCUUGAGGCGCAUAUCCGAGAAGCAUCAGAUGUAAUCGCGUAAGGGCUCGUUUUUCCUGUCCCUUAUCCUCUCGAGAUCAUAUUUGUUUCUAGGCUGCUCGCAGGUAGCGAUGAAAUUAUCAAUAAACGCCUGGCGCAAUUCAUCCCAAGAAUCGAAAGAGUCCUCGGGUAGACCGAGGAGCCAUUGUUGGCUAGCUUGGUCGAGGACGACUGGGAAGUAGUUUGCCAUGACGUGCUCGUCCCCUCCUGCUGAUCGGACUACGAUCUCGUAAAGAGUGAUCCAGUUUUCAGGAUUCUCCUUGCCAUCAUACUAUUUAAGCUUCUCGAGCUUGAAGUUGCGGGGCCAUAUGACUUGGCAAAGGUAUGAGGAGAACUGUCUUAGGCCGGGAGGGCCAUGUGUUGCAUCGUACUUGAUGCGUCGCACGUUUUCAUGUACUGCUCUUUCCACAAUGCACUUGUUGAUGCGCUCGCGGACGUCCUUAGGAGGGAUGUUGUGUCAUAGAUCUUAGUCUUGGUUCACCUCCUGACCACGUCCGCAUCUUUGUUUGUGGUAACUGCCAGCGUCCCGACCACAAUUAUCGCGGUGGGUGUCCUUCCUCCGAUUAUUGAUAGGCGAAUGGCUACGAUGAUGUCCGCCGGUUCGCGGUGAGGUGCGGCUGCGAUGAGUCUGGUUAGAGGUGACCUCCAUAUAGGAGACGGUUUGGACCCAUUUGAGCAGAGUGGCGGUCUACCCCAUGGUCGUGAUCAGAUGCGCCCGUAUGUUGGUACGAGCAUCCUGAUAUUCUAGGGUAUCCAGAAGUCGAUCAAGAUUUGCCAUGGCGACGGCCACGUUGGCACUUGGUGUCUUGAACACUUGCUGAUUUCCAACCAUGUCAAAAGCAUCGUCAAGGUUGUUUGGGGUUAAUUGUCGCUGCUCAUCUGCUCGUCGCUGAGCUCGAUCGGCGUUGCGUUGUUCGCGCUAUUGUCUUUGUUUGUCGGUUUCACCGUCAACAACUGGUUCGUCAUUGCUGACAUUGAAAACCAGAUCUCCUCGUCGAGGUGAAAGGACUGCAAAGUGAGAAAAACCCAAGGGGUAAGGUGGUAGAUCCAGGUCGUAGUCUUCGUCAUUGGGGUGUAAAACAUCGGUAGGGACAGAUCCUGUGCUAGAGUUUGUGCAGGUGGCCUUGUCGUCUGGUAGGGUUCGGAUGGAUACCAUGUUGACAAAGUGAUGAUCCGACCUAUUGGUUUGCCCUGGCGACAAUCCCAUCUUCCCGAAUAGAGAAUCGGUAUGCCGUGAAAACUGAUCAGCCGCGUUGUUCAGACCGUGACGGAAGUUCUGGUGUGGCGAGGCUGUCUUGAACUUGAUAGUCCGUCCCGCGGUGGUCGAUGUUAUCGUCAGGGAUGUCUCCAGUCGUUCGUGCGUGGAGACACAAGUUGGUUGACAGGAUUCAAAAAAAUUUGAUGUUGCCGCCUGAUCGGGCCUGCGUGAAAUCGAAUCCACCAAGUUGGAGGCUUCGAGAAGUUUGUGGUCGGCGCGAUCGAGGGCUUGAAGCAGAUCCGAGUUGUCGACUCGCUUUGCCCUGUAGCGAGGGAGCGGAGGUCGGGUCCUCGGAGUCGGCGUGAUCAGAGUCGACGCCUCUGCUGUCCCAGAUUGGAUCUGGGUUUCUUCUGUAGUCGUGGUCGUAAGGCCGCCGUCGUGAGUUGUCCAAGUGAUCUGCCCGACGGUGAACAUGGGACCUUCAGCCACGGCUGCGGAAGCUGGGACAAUGACCAUCUUGUUCGUCUGGGAAGCUGUGUGCACUCCCCCUACCUGGCGCGCCACUGUUGACGAAAGCUAGUCGGCAAUCUACCUUGGGGUAUACCCACGGUAGUAGUUUAUCGGCAGACAGGUGCGCAAGCUACGAACUUGAUGGUGACGCAAGACACGGACAAGGUUUUUAUCCAGGUUCGGCCGCCGUGUGGGCAUAAUACCUACGUCUUGUGUCUGAUUGUAUUGCUGUGGAUUGUGUUGAGUUGAGAUGAGAUGUCCUAGGGGGGUCCCUUGCCUCUCUUUAUAUAGUCCAGAGGGCAGGGUUACAGAUCCGGAAACUAAUCCCAGUCGGUUACAAUUGCCAUAGAUAACACGAUAUCAAUUCCUAUUCUAACCGACUAGAAUCUGGCUUGAUCUCCACGUCUUGUUUCCUUGCGUGAAACUCCGAGCAGUUGGAUCAAGCUUCGAACUCUCUUGUGAUGGGCCAAGUCUCCUGGCCCAAGUCUAGCCGUAAGGGUAUAGGGGUUUAUACCGUCGCAUCCUUCGUCCAGAUCAGGCAUUGCUUAGAGGUCCUAUUCAGUACGGAUGGAUAUACCAGUAGAAAGGCGACUAGGCACAUUGAAGAAUUUUGUAAGGAAUAGGGCUAGGCCGGAAGGUUCAAUUGCUGAGGCUUAUGUUGCAAGUGACACGCUGACAUUUUGUUCUUGGUACAUGGAGGAUGUUGAGACUAAAUUUAACCAAUAUGAUGGUAGUGGAGGAGAUGGGGAGGUGGUUGGUGACGUCUCUAUUUUUAUGCAUGGUGUUACUGUUGUUGGUUCAAAUAGGAUAAUUUGAAAAUGGUCUGCUCAACAAGUUAGUUUGGUAUGUGCUAAAUAACUGUGACAAAGUUGGGCCAUAUUUGCAGUAUGUAUCAUUUUCAAAUUUUGGAAAAUCAUGUUUUUUCAUAAUGAUUUAAUUUUUUCCUGCAGCAUGUACAGAGAAGAGUUAGUAAAGGAAGGAGCACAUGAUGUUGAUAAAAGGCUUGAACAAGGAUUUUGAAAAUGGUUUAGAAGCCAUGUAUGUCACUGCAUCUUGUAUGUUUUUUAGAUUUCCUUCAUGGUUUAGGAGCCAUAUUUAAUUGGUUGAUCCGAUUAAUUUUAUUGCACCCCAGGUCAUGAAGCUAAGCAAGGAGAAGCCAUAGGAUGUUAGUGAAGGAUUGUAUGCUCUUUCAUGUGGGCUAGAUCUUAGAGUGAAGAGUUGUGCAGCUUGCGUUGUUAAUGGAGUGCGAUAUAGCACUAUGGACCGUGAGAAGUACCUACUGACGACAAAAUAGUGGUGUGACGACCGAAGGUGCACAUGAGGGUGAGAACAUUGAUUUUUAUGGUGUCUUGAAGGAGGUAAUUGAGUUGGGAUAUAAUUCCAAUCUUGAAUUUUGUCAUUCGGUGGUUCUAUUUCAAUGUGAUUGGUACAAUCUAUGUGGUAAGUCAAGAGGCAUGCGAGAUGAUGGAUAUUUCAAAUCCAUCAACAUGCAAUCCUUACGGUACAGGUCUGUUCUUUUCAUAUUGGCUACUCAAUCUACAAAUGUAUUUUACUUAGAAGACGCAUCUUUAGGCAAAGAUUGGCAAGUUGUGCAAAAAUUUGAACAUAUGCAUAUUUACGAUGUGGCUGAAAAAGAUGAGCCUAGUCAUCAUGAUGUACAUCAGGAUGAUCAUUGUUCUGAUAGCAAGAAUGUUGUAGAAGAAGGGAAUGUUCAUGAGGUCAUGCACCAUGUUCUGGGUGGAGAAGGCACUAUACUUGAAGGUAAUUUAGUAGAGAAUAGAAGAAACAAGAAGCAACCUUCAAUUCUUAAAGAUAGUGAGGAUAACGAUGAAGACCAAACUGUAAUGCAAUAUUGCAGUGAUGGUGACAAUGACAAGAACGCAGAUGGCAUGUGCCUAGACGAUGACGAUGAAGAUGAUGAUUUGGAGACCUAGAUUCCUGGUGUACUAGUAUGCUACCAUUCUUGAUGUACUAGAUAUUGGUACAACAUUUAUUUGUUUUUAGUGAUUCAAAUCUUCGCUAUUUUCACUAACAUUAAGAUCCAAAAGACCACAUUCAGUUUCAGAUAAACCACAUUCAGAUAAAUCACUAGGACUUGAGUUGCAGUGCUGGGCAUUCCACCAGGCCUUACCAUAAUAUCCAAAAGACUUGAGUUCAGAUAAAUCAUGACUAUACUAGGUGCUGCUAGGUCCUAACAUAUCAUGUAUCUACAUAACUUAAGUGCUGCACAUUCCAGGGCCUACCAUAACUAAAAGAAGACUAAGUCCAAUUUCCAUUACAAGUUAGUUCCAAAAUGUCUUCCUGCUGGCCUUCAGUGCAGGGGUUUCUUCAGCUAUUCCAGAUCGUCCUUGAUUUGCUGGAUGAUCAAGUCCUUGUCCGCUUCUGUUUUCUUCAACGCAUAGAUUCUAACGCCAUUUUUCGAAAAUCAUCACGCCCAACUUCUUCUCCAACUGCUUGACUUUGGCACCCAUCUUCUUCUCCAACUCCUUCACUUUCUUGCAGCAUAUACAGAUCAACUUUACUGAACUUUCUUAAGGUCAACUAAACGACCACAUUCACAAAAUGCACUAGGACUCAACAUUCAAUUUCAUUUAGUUGCAAUAAUCCACACUCAGUUUCAGACAGAACCACAUUCAGAUAGCAGGUAAUGUGCAGGUUCAGAUCACAUAUAUCAUAGGUAAUCUCAGAUGCAGACCAAGACCUAUGACCUUGAAACUGCCUACACCUGUUUGAAAAUGAAUGAGUAGGAAUUUUGGAUAACAGUAUAAGAAAAGAAAGAUGGCAGGCGGCUAACCCUUCAAGUAGUAAGGCAUGCAAUCACUGGAGGGAGCAAACUUAAUAGGAGGAAGGAAGAAUGUAGUAAGACAUACGUGGCUGUGCUAAUUGGAGCUAGGAAAGAUACUAAUUCUAUGUGGUACUGAAAUCCUUAUCAACACCCAAAACUUGAGUCUAAAACAUUGUUGUGCUACUACUGCAGUGCCGUGCUACUACUGCAGUUACUUAUCCUACUAAAGGCAUGGCUAGCUGCUUAAAAAACAUUUCAAGGACACAAACCGUAUUUUCACAUUAGCUCAAAAGUACAGAGAUGCUAUUCAUUCAUUACGAUAGAAACCCUAUUCAUUCAUUUUCUACAACAUUAUGACAGUAACCUGCCAAUCUGAACUCAACCAUGAAAAUACAGAGAUGCUAUUUCAAGACAUGAUAAUAUGGUUUGGGACCUGUGCACAAAAAUUCUGGCUCAAUGCACAAUAAUUUUUAUGCACACUAAAAAUUUUGGGACCUGUGCACCAGCUUAGAACCUGCAAAGUAGUCUCCUAGACAUGCUCUAGUGCUGUCAUGAUCGCUAACAACCACUUUAAGCAUAUCUACACAUUUGCAAAUCGUCUUUUCUCUUUCACAUAGCACUAGGCAAGGGAAUCUUAUAAAAGAACUUUACUUCUUGUCCACACCUAGGAUUUACUUUAGUAGACACUUAAUGCCACAUCAUUUAGAGUGCUAAAGUGCUUAGGGUAGGGGUCAGCCGACCCCUACAUUGGCUAAUCUCUGGAAAAUAGUUCAUAUAUGUUGCAAGAUUCCCUGCCAUGAUUCAAAAUUUUGAAACAUAGUGCUUAUGGGGAGGUCGGCCGACGCCCACAUUGGGGUGUUCACCACUUGCCCUUCUUCCCCUAUAAAUACCCAUGCAUUGUGAGCUCAAUUCCACACCCAAAACCACCAAAAUUAUCUCGAGCUCACAAUCCCUCUUCUCUCUUCUUACUUGCAAGUUAUUUCUCAAGAUUAGAAUAAUUGACCUUAAAAAAACCAAAAAAUAUUUAGUCUUGCAUAGGAGUAGAAGUUGGAAAAAGUUUGGUUGUCUGUGUUGUGCAGGAAAAUGGAGAAAGCAUUCCUCUCCCGAUUCUAGAAGUCCAAAGGGGGUGAGAGUUGUUCUCAAAGCUCUCACCACUCUAAUGAGGGAAGCCAUGAGAGGAUGGAGGAAGGGGAGAGUCACCAUCAAGUGGUGCUCUACGAACCUCCUCCAACAGCAAUGGAGCCUAAAGAAUGAACUCAUAUUAACACCGGAAGAGAUGAUCAAGUUCAACAACCUAAAGGAGAGCGGUUUCCGCCAUACAAGCAUCCUCGACCCGGCCCUUGUGGACUGCACAGGUAUGACUAAAGAAUUCAAUGAUAUUUUAAUACCAUUGGUUUGGGAGGUUUUUGGUGAGUACCUUAAGCUUGGUAUAGAAGUGCUCACUGAAGAAUUUUUAUGCACACUAAAAUUGACUCAUAACAUUUUGCAUGUGUGGGCAAGAGUGUAGUUGUACUUGGGGUCUUCUAACCACUGCUCUAGGUUGUAACUUCGAUUGUACAAUUGACUUAGACACUACCAUGCCUAGGUUUCACAAGAGUAGAUUUUGAUGAUUGCUCCACUCUCUUAACCUCUAAAAUUCACAAUCCAACCUUGUGCUUAAUUUAUUUCUGGAUUACUACCAAUCUUUUUCUUGGUUCUUCUAACUCUCUAAAAGAUGAUGAACUAAAAUAGCUCUAUGCUAUGGUACACAAGAUUGAAAUUUCCCCUGUUAAAUUGAUGAUAAGAUUUUAGCUACCUACCAAUGACCCACCUUGGUCCUGUUGGUGUGUUGCCACCAGCUGGACCCCUACACUUGAUGUUUCCCAUGUCUUUGGAUUUCAGAAUGCUCAAGAAUCCAAGUUUGGGGGGUCAAGUGGCCCCCCAAACUAAGUCUCUGAAUUUCCUGAACACACCAUGACCUAGUACAUGGUGAGGCAAGUUGGCUCGACAAAUUCUACCCAAAGUAGGGGGUCGGCCGACCCCCUCUUUGACGGACAACGGGAACAGAAGCUUGCAAAGGUACAUCAUCAACAAUGGGAAUUCAAAUGGCAGCAAUGGGCAAGCCGAAGUGGGGUCGGCCGACCCCACCUUGGAGCCCUGGACCCACCGUUCAGCAUCCACUCAACGUCUACCUGCCUUCUGUCUCGUUUGCCACUCCAACUCCCCCUCUGUUCUUUGAUUUUUAUUACUUCUGUCUCUUGUUUGCUUUAUUAGAUAAAAUAAAAAAAUAAAAACGAGAAGACUUGGAUCUAUGAUUUAUGACAUUAAAAGGGUAAAAGUGUCACAAAGUCUAAUUCUUUCAUAUGCUUAUACUUGUGGGUCAUAUAUCUUGAUAGGAAUACCAUAAUGACUUGAUUGUUGAGAAUUGUGAUAUAGUUCUUAACUCAUGAUUCAUACCCUUUAUAUUCAAAGUGCUUAGAGAUUUAUUUUUGAAAAUAUCAUAAAACCAUAGUGUCACUUACUCCUCAAUAGUAAGAGAAUUCCUACCACAGCCAUAUAUGUUCAUACCUUGUUCAAAACCCUUCUAUAUAUGCUACUUGUACUUGUGUUGAGUUUAGUCAAACCUUGUGACCCUAGUUGAGAAUUAUGUCAUAGUCCCAAGAUCAAGAUCACAAACACACCACAUAUAUAUGCUGCUUCUACACUGGAAGUACGCAAAAAUAGGCCAUCCAUUUUACCAUAUAGAAGCUCCUUGUUUUAAGGUUUAGAAUAUCUCUCUCAAAUUAUUGUUUAUAAGAUGAGACACAAAGGCUAUGCUUAGUAAAAAAAAGUGGGCACAUGAAGGUCAAUUCCUUUUAAAAAAAAAGAAAAAAAACUAGCCAGGUCUCAAAUAAAAUAGAGAGAGAUCUUAUUAAAUAGAGGAGCAUUCUAUUCUAAUCAUUAUUCACACACUUACACAUCAUGAUCUAGGAUUAUGACAUUCUUCUCCUUGGAUCCUUGUUUUGACUUUACAAUAGAUACAAUACAAGUAUGCUAUCUUGUUUCUCCCUACCUGAGCCCCAUAAGCCUAUUAGAUGUAGCAUGAAACAAAAGAAGGCAAUCUUAUGCUAUGCCUUGGUGAGGAAUCCUAUACUUGCUGAGUGACUUAAGAGUACUAUUAGAGGAGUAAGGAUGAACUAUGUGCUUUCUUUUAAAACAUUUAUCAAAAACUCUAAGUACAAAUGAUAUGAAAAUGGGAAGAUGUCUUUGCUUUGAGAACUGCUCCAUUUUUCAACAUCCUAAGGAUAUAUGUUGGACAGUGCCACAUAACCCACUUGUAUAAGAUAUGUCUUGAGUAGUCUUUGUGUUUACUUAUAUCUUAAAUGUGUCAUAAUCAUAGGUUAUCUUUCUCUAACCUUUUCUCGAGGACAAGCAAAGACUUAUGUGUGGGGGUUCUUGUUGAUGGUAGAUAAGCCCUAUUUUUACCCCAUCAAAACCGUCAACAAUACAUUCUUUUUGGAAGAAAAUCACCAAACCCAUAGUGUCUUAGGUACAAAUAACUUGGUUCCACAUGUACAUGUCAUCAUUUGGAUGCAGGUGUGCAAUCGACUACUUUUCAGGGUUAAGAAGCUCUAUAUGAAGGUUGGACUACCACCCUAGAAUGCCCAAUUGGAAAACCAACUUCACAUUCAUCAAUCUCAUAGCUUCUGGAGACAAUGUGCAAAAGAUGGGCACAUUAGUGGGGUCGGCCGAUCCCACCUUUGUGGGCCUAGCACCACCACUGUGCUCAUAAUGUCACCAGGAAGUCACCUGCAGAAGAUGAACCUUUGGUUCUACCAAAGUGGGAUCAACCGAUCCCACUACGGGGCCAUCCAGCCACCUGGUUUGCACCAACCGACAUGCAUGGAUUCCUUCUAGAAGACAACACCGGUCCCACCUGUCAUUGGGUGGGUCGGCCUACCCUAAGGUUGGGAGCUUCCAAGGUCGGUUGCACCCCACCGACGUCCCCAUGAUGAACAUGUGAUGGAAAUCCCCAACUGUUGAUCAUAUGGCGGUUCCAAGGUCAGUUUAUCCAAUGGUGCAUGCUGGAGGUCACGCAGAUUGCUGACGUGGUAGUGGAGUAGCCCAUACUCCACAUCCUGAUAUAAAUACCCCCUAUAGGCCUUCAUCUCAUAUCAUCUCACACUUCAAGAUCCACUUGUUACAAUGUAGGGUAGUAGUAGUUAGUCUAGUGUGGGAGUUAGAGUUGAGUCGAGCGAAGCUCGGAGUCUCCAGAGUCGUCUUCUAGAGAGUCUAGUAUUCCUCUUUACCUUUUCUCUUGUAAGACUUUGAAUAUUUAAUAUAUUUACUUUUCCUUUACUCUUCUAAGUAUUUACUUUUAGUAUUUGCUUAGUGCAAUAUUCUAUUGUAGUGUCCUAGUCUGUCUUAUAGUAGUUAUAUACUAGCUAAGUUAGUCUUAAGUACUUGGGUUGUUUUCUCUGCCGGUAACACGGUGCUUGGACUAGGUCGUAUACUUAGUCUGAGUAGUAGGAGUUAGCAUAAGCAUGGUGCUUAGACUAAAGCCUACCCUUGAAUACCACCAUAUCAAACGUGAUAGCGGGCGGCGGUGAAGCGUGACAGGCCUCUGCUUGCCAGUACGUUCUAUUCACAUCGGGUACGAUCUGUAGGCGCCCAUAAGAAACGAGUCCGCUUGGAUAGGAGUUUUGUCCUCCUAUUGCAGUCAACUUCCAACAAACAAGUAGUUAAGUUUAGUGAAGUUAGUGUGUGUCAGCUACUAGAUUAGAUUGGUUCACAGGAGUAAAGUUAGAGUCAUAGGAGUCUAUACUCACUCGUUGUCCUCCCACAUAGCAAGCUCUCUACCAUUUAUCUUUAGAUUAGGAUCUGUGUGAGAUCACUUACCUAUUCUUGACCCUUUGGAUGACCUUGAGCCUAGUAAGUUCACUUCACAUUCCCCGUGGAAAAUACAAUACCUAGAAUACUCCCGGUGAAAGCUACAUUAACUAUCGUACGCUUGCGGUAUUUCCGUUUGCCACUUCUAGAGUCAACAGGCUUUCUGGCACUAUUGUAGGGAUGGACUUUUAGUCUAUCUUUUGUGAUGACACUAUGAAUUGCCAACAAUGCAUAUCCAGUACCACAAAGUCUACUGGCACGAACAAGUCUCUUAUCUUGAUAGGAAUAUAUUCGGCAAUGCCCAAAGGAUAUCAGACUGAUUGGUCAGCCAGCUGAAGACACAUUGCUGUUGGCUCAAGUGCAGUGUGAUUAAGCUUGUAGUAGAUGUUGAUGGUCCUUAAGUAUCAAAUUUAACUAUCAAAUAAAUAAAGAAAAGGAUCCAAAUGCAACCGACAUCUAGACUUAGGGUUUUAUCUGACAGAAUUCCACGAGUUUUGGUGUUUGUCUAUUUCUACAGGGGGUUAUCAGGAAUUAUGGAAGAAAGGCCCACACAUCGGGUUUACAUAGAGAUAUUAACAUGCCGCGCAAUUUUCUAUCAUCUAGAAGACUCCAGAAGCCACAGGAAUGAACGGGAAGCCGAGCGGGCUCGGGGGCAGGGCGCCCGCCCAGCUACAGAGUCCAAUUAGGACUCGUUUCGUGGAUUACGCUCCACCGACCUAAAGGAUCAAGAAUAACCGUUCAAUCAAUGUCGGUCUGAUCCGACGGCCCAAAUUCACUUGAGGGGACUAUAUAAGCAGACCCCCUGGCCCCUGGAGGAGGUGCCCCUUGAUCAUUAUUCAUUAUUCCUAGACAGAGCAAAAGCUAGGGUUUGAGAUGAGAGCUCUCCUCUCCUCUAAACUAGAGUAGAUCAUAGUAGCGAGAUGGAGAGUGAGGGUGGAUUGCAGGAGAGCCCGGCCUGUCGGUUCUUCCUCCGGUUGUACUUCGUCAUGAUCAAGCUCUAAUCAAGCUUGCUCAUGGGAUGACUCUGGUAAUCUACUUCUAAUUCAUUAUGCAAUUACUAAUCAUGUAUGUUCUGGUUCACAACUCUUUUGAGUACUUUAAUCUAUAGGACGCUAUAGGUGAGAGUUGUAGUAUAGGUGUAAGCGUGGUGCUCAGACCUAGAUUACUUAUGGAUAUCCCCUGUCUAGCUGGAUCGUGUGGUAGGCCGCGUAGGUGAUAGUUAUGUUGGUCCCCUGUAGUCCACCUCUUGUUAACAGGACGGGUAGGGUUUAUUGGCCUACGGAUAAGCAUCCUUUGUGGUGUAUUCUUAUCACGUGGUUCGUCCCAGACAUAGACAUACCCCUUUGAAGUAGAGAAAUCAUAGUUAUCCUCUCUAUUCUCCUACCAUCGCCCAUAUAUUAGAUUGCUCUACUCUCUAUUCCCAUAUUAUCACCCAUUGUUAUCUUACCUUUAAUAUUGUUAUUAUUUAAUUCUACCAUCUUUCCUAUUUACACCUAUCUAUCUAUCUUGGUUAAGUUAGAGCGUAGUUGGUUCUCCUGUUUCCCUGUGGAUACGAUAAAACCUUUAACUGGGUAAAAGCUACAACGGUAUCUGUGCGCUUGCGGAUUUAUCUGUGUGCGUAUAAAUACCAUAGUACACUCUAGUGCCAUGUUGGGGAUGACAACCUAGUAUUCAAGUGGUGUUAGCAAGUGUGAACAAGCAUUUUUGGCGCCGUUGCCGGGGAGACGGUUGUUGAGUUGACUACGAACUAGCUUAAUCAUUUUCUAAAAAAUAAAAAUAUAUAUAUAUAUUUUUUCCUUUUAUCCUUUGCCUCAUCUCUGCUAUUCUUUCCUCUUAUCUAAUCCUUGAUCUCUGGUCUAUCAUGAAUUCAAACAUGUCUAUCUACGAAUUUCAUAGACCUACUGGCACACAUCUCGAACCACCAAAAUAUUCAAAGCCUAUCAUAGCAUCUAGUUUUGUGAUAGACCCCAAAUACAUAGAAUUUGUUCAAAAACAACCUUUCUCAGGAGAAGGUGAAGAAAACCCAUACACACACCUAAGAGUGUUUUAUCGAGUCUGUGACCUCCUUCGCAUAGAAGGCAUGUCCGAUGAGACCCUUAAAUGGAAGCUCUUUCUGUUCUCUUUAACAGGAAAAGCUAGACAUUGGUAUAAACUCAAAGUAGGGAGUGUUCAUGGAGAUUGGAAGGAGUUACAUAAUAGUUUUCUUUUAAAAUAUUUUCCAAUCUCUAAAGUGGCGGAACUUCGGCGUGAGAUUAUUUCUUUUAGACAACUGGAAGAAGAAUCUCUUGGCAAAUCAUGGGACCACUUUAUUAACCUUAUUCUCACUGGCCCAAAGCUUUCUAUUCCACAAGAAGUUCUUCUAAUUCACUUUUUUGAGGGCCUUAGUAUGGAAAAUAAGCAAACAUUGAAUACAGCCUCCAGAGGAUCUUUCCACCACCUAUCCGCUAGUGAAGCUUGGAAUUUGAUUGACUUAAUGAGCGGAAAGUAUCCUAGCUUUUAUAUCCUUGAGAAAAAGAAAGAACUAGUUCCUAGACAAGAAUAAGAAGUUUCGAUAGCCAGAUCACAACCACUUAAUUCCAAACUUUAGCUAUCGAUCCUAAACCAUCAAUACCCCAAAAUUCUCCAAGGGAGGAAGGAAUUCCAACCUUAAAUCUUUCAGAUACUGAUGGUUUAGACUUCUUGUUCCAUGACAAGCAUAGAUAAUUCAAAUCCUUGCAAUAAUGUUUCUCUUAGAGAAUGUCCUGGUUCCUAUUAUGAAGAAGUCGAGGAUGGCAUGUCAAGUAAUGCCUUAGAAGGAGAGCUAAGCUAUAUGGAAGAUUCUAUCAGCUCCCCUUUCCUGAUCACAAGUUACAAAUGGCUAGAAUGUGUAGAAUGGAUGGAUAAGGAAGAAGCCUUAAUGGAUUCUGAGUUUGGCUCAAUUUCAAAUGGUGAGUUCUUGACUCCCUUCGAAGAUGAGAUUCAUCCAACUACAGAAGAGGACAUAGGAGAAACCAAUCCAGGAGAAAUUCCGAACAUUCAAAUUGGAGACGAAGAUAACAUUAAUGAGCAUGGAAUUUAUUUCAUAGCCACCUCAUUUACUCCAUGCUCAUAUGCAACAUCUUCCCAAUCUAUUGGUCUCCCCAACAUCACCACAUCUGAGAUCUCCAACCCCCUCUUUCUUCCUAUUUAUAAAAACUUUAAAAGGGCAGUUUUCGAUGCAUAUGUCUAUAAUAAAUAUUGCAGAUCUCGUUGAGUUGAUCUUGAUAUACGUCAGUGUUGGAAGGGAAACCACUUCGCCGACAUAAAUUGAUGGUUUCCCAAGGACAAACUUAGUGUCUUAAAAUAAGCACUGAUCAGAUCAUAACAUGAGCUUUUAAUUAUUUACAACAUUACCUUGUGUAUUGAGCAUAUAAGGAUAAUUGUAAAAAUAUUCCUUCGGGUACUCUUGUCACUAACCUUUCCAGGAUUUGAGCAAGAAGAUUGGAUGAAUGACAAGUACAAGGUAUGUCCAACCAAUCAUCAUACAACAUUGAAUUACAUCCAAACUUGGAUUUUGCAAAAUUCAAGCUUGGGGGAGUAAUUUACAUCCUUUGCCAUGUUGCUAUGUUGGUUGUCCCUACCUUUGAGACAUGCUCAAUUUGUUAAAUACUAAUCACACUACUUCAUCUCCACUUGAGUAGAUCUCUAUAAAUGCUCCCAUGCUACCUUUAUGUGCUUUAGUAUAUGUCUAGGUUUGGAGUAGUUCAUUUAUCUCUUAAAUAAGCAUUUUGCUUAGUUUAGGAAUGAUGAUCUUACUUCCAAGGGAUUUUAAAUUAAGCAUGGUGCUUAGGUUAAAAUGCCCUAGGUUGAUUUUUGAUCCGAUAGUAUGCUAUAGUAGAUAUUGGAUAUUUUGUUGGACUAACCCCUGCAGGAAAACUUUCAAUAUCAAACUUGGAAGUCCUGAGAUAAACUCAAAUUGGAGACAAAGAGAGAGACACAUCAAGUUUAACAAUUUACACAAGGAAGACGUAGCUCAUAAGAGAUGAUACAUGGAGGAUGCCACAAACACGAUGCACAACCGCUAUGAAAGGAAAGCUUCCACAAGGUGAUACUGUACCAUCACUCUUCAAGUAAGGUAACAUCUUAAUAUACUUGAUUAUCACUUUUAUAAGCUUCUCCUUGGUUCUAGUGUUCACAUGAAUAAAAGAGACAAACAUGUAUGAUUUAUAACUCCAAAUUAACCAACCCAACUGAUUCAACAUGUUUAGUCCUUUAAUCUUUGCUCCUAGUACUCCCUCCAUGAUCCCACACUCCUAAUCAUAUGAGCUAAAAUGUUACACAUUCAAUCUUUGAGAGAUAUAAAGAAAAAGACAUAUACAUAGAUAGAUUAUCUUUCCACAAGGUUGAGCGAUCUGAUCUGACAAAUGUUAUAAGUACUACACUCAUGAACUUAUCAUCCAUCAACUUUGUCUUGCUCACUAUGCUUAAGGUUAGAGAAGAACAAAUACACUUUUGGUUCUGUUGGUGUUUUCCACCAACAGGACCCAUGCACUUGAUCUCUGCCUUGUCUCUAUGAGCAGGUACACUUCGAGCAAAAUAUGGAGGAGUUUUACAACUCCCAGACUCCACCAAGUGAACAACCUGGAUCUAUGAGCACAAACACACUGAACAAGAUACUACCAACACCGCACUUUGAACUGCUAGGCAAAUGAAGAACAUGGGUGACACCGUAUCAAGAGGUGCAGACGUCAAGGUCCACACCUGAAUCAAAUGACGCACCUAAAGAAUGAACACAGUGAGAAGUCUUGUUCAGAAGACUUAAAACAUUGAACCCUCGCCGAAAGGUAAAAUCGGUAAUUAUCCAUAUUUAUCCUUUCUACAUUCCCUUUUCCCUUUUAUUAUUUACUUUCCUUAAAUAGCUUGUUAAUUAAUCAUGCUAUCUUGAAAAGAAAUUAAAAAUGUUAAAAACAGUAAGCCCCAUGUGAGUAUGCUCGUGGCAUAAAACCCAUAAGUACGUUCACUGUGGUGGCGUAAAAAUAAAAUAAAUAUAUUCCUAUCAUAUAAAAAUGAAAAUAUAAAAAUAAAUUUAUGAUCCUACCAAAGAGAGUAAUAUUUAUUGGAGGAGGCUCAACAUGAUAAAGGCUAGAUAUUUAUGCUAACACUUAACUAGUUCCACAAAGCUUUAUUGUCUAUUUGAGCUCCACAGAAUUCAAGGAUCAAAGAAGACUAGCAGACGGAGGACGUCCUAAUCGCUGUGAGGGUACUGCCGACAUUCAAAUACACCUCCACCACCUGCUAGCUACAUCAGAAGAAAUUACGUCAAAAUCCAGCUUGGGGGAGAGCACCCCCAUUUAUCCAGCUAAGUGUUUCUACUCGCGUUUAUACUUUAGUCAAAUAAUAAAAAGAUGCAUAAUCAGAAAAACUCAAAUAAAGAUUUUUGUGCUUAUAUAUAUCUUUGCUUAGUUUGCUAAAUAAAUAAAUAAAUGAAGUUUGCUAUGAACUCUCAUGAUAAGCUCUCACAUAAAAUGGUCGUUACGCUCCNNNNNNNNNNNNNNNNNNNNNNNNNNNNNNNNNNNNNNNNNNNNNNNNNNNNNNNNNNNNNNNNNNNNNNNNNNNNNNNNNNNNNNNNNNNNNNNNNNNNNNNNNNNNNNNNNNNNNNNNNNNNNNNNNNNNNNNNNNNNNNNNNNNNNNNNNNNNNNNNNNNNNNNNNNNNNNNNNNNNNNNNNNNNNNNNNNNNNNAAAAAUUCACUUGCACGUUCACUAAUACAUGCUGCUUCUACUCCGGAAGUACGCAUCCACAUACAUCCACUCAUUUCCAUCUCCAGAUUCACCCAAAAUUAUUCUACUCCUAUCCAAGAGAGAAUAGCCAAAAACAUUAUCCUAUCCCUGUUAUUCCCCGUGAAAUAAAUGCUCGAGGUAUUUUGGUUACUACCACUUGCUACAUUAUUCUAGGAGGGUGAGUGCUCUGAAAAAAAGAAGAAAGAUACGAGGAAAUAAAAAGGGUCAAGUGCCCGAAACCUCGAAGAAAAGAAAAAGUGAGACGAGAGGUAAAAAUGUACAAGUGUCCGACAGUAGAAUUAGGGGUACAACAUACCCACCUGAGAUGAAAGAAAAAAAAUAAAUAAUAUAGAGCAUCUCAUUCUUCUCAAAAAUCUUCAAAAGAGCAAGAACGGUAUGUAUCCCCUCAAAAGAGCAAAAAGUAGAAUUAGACUUUCACCAUUGUUAUCACCAUACACCAUUCAUUCGCCACACAUACACAUCUUGAUUUGACUUAUUGACUUGUUUCUCUGUAUCCAUGGUUUGACUAUGCAAUAAAUGUCUUAUAAGUAUGUAUUAGCUUUCUCCCACCUAUGAGCUUCAGAUAUCAAAACCGUAUUAGAGUAGGGUGAGAGAGAAGGCAAUGUCACUAUGCCUCAUACUACAUAUACCAUAUGCUUUGAGAGAAGGCAUAUACCAUCACUGCCUUGGUAAGGAUCC